This 73-nucleotide transfer RNA is filed under the name Cyanoptyche gloeocystis. RNAcentral describes it as "tRNA-Ile". It matches the Rfam family "tRNA". Rfam says of the family: Transfer RNA (tRNA) molecules are approximately 80 nucleotides in length. Their secondary structure includes four short double-helical elements and three loops (D, anti-codon, and T loops). Lineage: Eukaryota; Glaucocystophyceae. The record is from RNAcentral.
GGCUUGUAACUCAGAUGGUUAGAGUAUACGCUUGAUAAGCGUAAAGUCGAUAGUUCAACUCUGUCCAAGCCUA